Molecule: ribosomal RNA, 300 nt
Filed under: uncultured Lactobacillus sp.
Lineage: Bacteria; Bacillati; Bacillota; Bacilli; Lactobacillales; Lactobacillaceae
Description: bacterial SSU rRNA
Rfam family: Bacterial small subunit ribosomal RNA (bases 52-300)
Source: RNAcentral
GGUAAUCACGUGCGGGGAGGGGGGGUAAGAGGUAGGGGGGGAGGGUUAGUCGGAAUUAGUGGGCGGAAAGGGCUCGUAGGCGGGUUGUCGCGUCUGUCGUGAAAGUCCGGGGCUUAACCCCGGAGCUGCGGUGGGUACGGGCAGACUAGAGUGCAGUAGGGGAGACUGGAAUUCCUGGUGUAGCGGUGGAAUGCGCAGAUAUCAGGAGGAACACCGAUGGCGAAGGCAGGUCUCUGGGCUGUAACUGAUGCUGAGGAGCGAAAGCAUGGGGAGCGAACAGGAUUAGAUACCCGUGUAGUC